Molecule: ribosomal RNA, 622 nt
Filed under: uncultured Candidatus Brocadia sp.
Lineage: Bacteria; Pseudomonadati; Planctomycetota; Candidatus Brocadiia; Candidatus Brocadiales; Candidatus Brocadiaceae
Description: bacterial SSU rRNA
Rfam family: Bacterial small subunit ribosomal RNA
Source: RNAcentral
AACAAAUCGAGUGGCGUAAGGGUGAGUAAUACAUUGAUAACCUGCCUCUGAGAUGAGAACAACAACGUUUCGAGCAAUCGAAAUUACCGAAAGGGUUGCUAAUACUCAAUAAAACUAUUGAUGCUUCGGUGUUGAUGGUCAAAUAUGCAGAAUCGUAAGAUUCUAUUUGCUUAGAGAGGGGUCAAUGUCCUAUCAGCUAGUUGGGGGGGUAAUGGCCUACCAAGGCGAAGACGGGUAGCCGGCCUGAGAGGGUGGUCGGCCACACUGGGACUGAGACACUGCCCAGACUCCUACGGGAGGCUGCAGUCGAGAAUCUUUCGCAAUGCCCGAAAGGGUGACGAAGCGACGCCGCGUGCGGGAAGAAGGCCCUCGGGUUGUAAACCGCUGUCGGGAGUUAAGAAAUGUAAGGAUGUUAAUAGCGUCCUUGCUUGACUAAGGCUCCGGAGGAAGCCACGGCUAACUCUGUGCCAGCAGCCGCGGUAAUACAGAGGCGGCAAGCGUUGUUCGGAAUUAUUGGGCGUAAAGAGCACGUAGGCGGCCGUGCAAGUCGGUUGUGAAAGCCUUCCGCUUAACGGAAGAACAGCAGCCGAUACUAUAUGGCUUGAGUACGGGAGGGGAGAGC